GUUUCCUUUAGCAAAAGACACAACCUGAUGAGAGCAUUAUGUAAUCUUAAUGCACUUUUGAUAUCUUUGGUAUCUAAGUCAGAACUCAACUCCUAAGAUGCUGGUGAUAGCAGCAUGCUGGAAAAUGUAAAAUUGCCAGCCUGAUUACUUUUUCAUGGGUUGUCCAGACCUCAUGGGUAUUGCUAGAUGAGAAGAAACACACGGGAGGGAAAGAAGGAUGGCUGCCAGCAGUAAAAGAGUCAGUGUUGCUCCUUUCUCUACAGCUAUGACAAAAAGCCGAUGCUCCAUCCAUAAGCAGGAAGAGGUUGGUGGAGGAUUAGGAACACUGACAGAUACCUGGCCUCCAGAAGAGGUUGGAAAUGUCUGAGGAAGAAGAUGGUCUUUGAAUGCAAGUCCUCAAAAAAGGAUCAUGGCUCUGGGAUCUCACAGAGGCAAAGUUACAGCCAGACAACCACUGGCCCAAACAGUGAUAGAGGAGAAAGGUUUGUAGUGCUGGUAACAGGGUUUCCAUGGAAGAUGCAGAGGGGAAAGAAAAAAAACCAAAAUGCUUUGAAGAUGCUGUACACAAUCAUUUAAGUUUCAAGCUGGGACUGAUCUAAAUCUCACACUGAGAAUGAAGGAUGACAGAGUUGCUGUGGGACUGGCAGCCAGCGAUGGACCACCCUAUGAAGACAGUUUUUCAUUAACAUAUUAACUUCACAAUAUGCAGUUUUCAGUCCUGUUGAUGUUGAUGCAUCCUUAUGUUUGUAGCAGCUGCCUAUGCACAGUAUGUAUUAUGGUAGAGGAAUAGUGAAUCAGAGAAUGGUUUCUCAUGAGACUAAGCACGAUGCCUGUCUGGUGGUAGCCAGCUUCUUUACUAAUAAAAAAUUCAAGCCA
This is a long non-coding RNA of Strigops habroptila (Kakapo), 876 nucleotides long. RefSeq lists it as uncharacterized. The transcript is spliced from 2 exons. The record is from RefSeq and is a predicted model, not a curated record. Lineage: Eukaryota; Metazoa; Chordata; Aves; Psittaciformes; Psittacidae.